GGAAAGUUUUAUUAUAGCUUUGUAGAUGGCUAUUUAAUUUUUUCACAUGUGAAUUUUAGUGUAAGUUUUACUUAGAUAGUUAAUUUAUUUUUGCAGUGUAUAGUUUUAAGAAUUAAUUAAGUUUAGACUUAGGAAUUUAUUUUAAUGUAAACAAAAUUUGUGCCAGCAGUAGCGGUUAUACAGAUUACAUUAGUUAUUUUUUAAUAGUUUAAUUAGGCGUUUAAUUUGGAAUUUAAAUUUGAGUUUUUUAGGUGAAAUUUUAAACUUUAUUUAUAUUUUCUUUAUGUUGCUGAGGUUAUGAGAUUUCUUUUUAAGACUAGGAUUAGAUACCCUAUUAUUGGAAUGGUGAAUUUCAAAAUUAUAAUUAUUAAUAGUUAUGGUCUUUAAAAUUAAAGAUUUUGGCGGUGUUUUAGUCUUUUCAGAGGAACCUGUUUAUUAAUCGAUAAUCCACGAUUAAUCAUACUUUAAUUAUUAAUUUAUAUAUCGUUGUAUUAUAAACAUUUUAUUAGAAUUUUAAUGUUUGAGAGUUAUUAUUAUGAAUUAAUUCAGAUCAAGGUGUAGUUUAUAUUGAAGUUUAAAUGGGUUACAUUAUAUUUAUAUGUGGUUUUGUUAAUUUAAAAUUAUCGAAUAAAUUGGAUUUGAGAGUAAUUUUUAUAUUUAUAUAGAAUGAUUUAGCUCUAAAACAUGCACAUAUCGCCCGUCGCUUUCAUAAUAAAAUGAAAUAAGUCGUAACAAAGUAGGCUUAUUGGAAAAUGAGCCUGGAAUGAU
RNAcentral lists this non-coding RNA (768 nucleotides) under Stenomorpha obovata. Lineage: Eukaryota; Metazoa; Arthropoda; Insecta; Coleoptera; Tenebrionidae. The record is from RNAcentral.